This 253-nucleotide ribosomal RNA is filed under the name uncultured bacterium. RNAcentral's name for it is "partial 16S ribosomal RNA". It matches the Rfam family "Bacterial small subunit ribosomal RNA", at positions 524 to 776 of the family's 1533-position model. The record is from RNAcentral.
UACGAAGGGUCCUAGCGUUAAUCGGAGUUACUGGGCUUAAAGGGUGCGUAGGCGGAUCGGUAAGUGUUUUGUGAAAUCCCACUGCUCAACGGUGGAAUUGCUUGACAUACUGUCGAUCUUGAGGUCGGAAGAGGUUGCUGGAACUCUAGGUGUAGCGGUGAAAUGCGUAGAUAUCUAGAGGAACGCCCAAGGCGAAGGCAGGCAACUGGGCCGAUUCUGACGCUGAGGCACGAAAGCGUGGGGAGCGAACGGG